UUUUCCGUGUUCGUUACAUUCAUCCAAAAUUGCGUAGAUAGUUUUGUCGCUCACUGUACCUUAAACUCGCAUCAAGAGACAGUUGUUACCAGAAGGUUUUACUUGGCUAAUGAACGCCGAGUAUAAAUAGACAGGGGCUUAAGGCAUUUCUAUGGUGUGACAGCUUGGUUAAUGACGGGGAAUCCCAACUCCUCCACCAUUGUGUUGCGUUGAUCCGUCGACCUUGUAUAAAUGCAUAAUCCGCACCUGCAGUCUGCAACAACGCUCGAGAUUCUUUAGUCUACGUCAGUCCUGCUCGUCGUCACACCAGUAACCUCCUGCUCGUCGUCACACCAGUAACCUCCUGCUGACUGAUCUUUGUUCACUGAGUGGCAAAGGCGUAGCUAACUUCAGCAUGAUGGAUAAGUCCUUCAUUCAGCUGCCGUUCCUCUUGCUGCUGCUCAUCCUGCUGACAUCACCCAGCGCUGACGCUUCUCCCGUUAACGCUGGGGUCUUUGGCCCCUCACGCUCAAACGGCGAUUGUUUGGGUUGCGUACGACCACCCCCACCACCCCCCACAAUCAUCGAUCCGCCGUGUUUCAGAUGUCCCGCCGGCACCUAUCUUGUAUCACGAAGACCUUGCAAGUGUUCAGAUAAGUGGGACCCUGCUGUUGCUCGGCCUACUCCUGCCUCCGUGCUUUUUGGCUAACAUCACUCACUACGCAUCACAUCCUCACUUCUCAUUCUUUUAUUAAUUUCUUGGCAUGUUAUUAUUUAUUUUGAGAAAUUGAAUCAUUUUUAUAGAGGAUGUGCGCUUCCAGGGAAUGACAACACCGGUAGGUGCUACAAUUACUGUUAUAUGUUUUGGAUAAAAAAGAUUCGAGAAGGGAAUGGUGAAGGAAUGAUCAUAUGGGGCUCACUGCACGUUGUAUGAAGGCGAGUCUUGGUGCGUCUUAAUAUCACAAAACAAUGAUAAAUAACAUUAAAAAAACAGCCAGUAAACUUAAGGGUCACGAACGACGUCACCUGAGAUUUAGGUCUUUUUUGGGGGGAGGGGGGUUCUCUCAGUUAGAACAGCGCCCAUUUAAAACUUAAUCUUGACCCAUACUUUCGUCAGGGAUGGCCAACAGUCUCUUAAAUUUCCCUGCGUCUUACUCAACAACAAAUAAAUAUAAAUAAAUAUGCAACGAUUCAGAAUUCAUCCAUCUGGGUAAGAGAACCCUCAAUCGAAUGAGUUUGCUAAAAGUAAAAAUAUAGUUUCAGAUGUUAUAUAUAAUUUUUUAUAAUAAAACUGUAAAUGUCUUGCAAAAAUUGUUAAAAGUGAAGCAAUAA
Molecule: long non-coding RNA, 1311 nt
Organism: Homarus americanus (American lobster)
Lineage: Eukaryota; Metazoa; Arthropoda; Malacostraca; Decapoda; Nephropidae
Exons: 3
Source: RefSeq, a predicted model, not a curated record